Molecule: long non-coding RNA, 302 nt
Organism: Rhipicephalus sanguineus (brown dog tick)
Lineage: Eukaryota; Metazoa; Arthropoda; Arachnida; Ixodida; Ixodidae
Exons: 3
Source: RefSeq, a predicted model, not a curated record
GUUGUGACAAGCGGCGACCGCGGUUGUACAGGAGCGGAAGCGUGAGCCUUUUGACGAGCGACUGUGAAGAAUGCAAAGCCAGUGCCAAACUUCGCGAUGACAGCUGUUCACGGCACCGACACAGAGGACAUAUUGCAGUGCAAGAUAGGAGCGGUCUACCUGCAAGCCCAGACAAGCCAUAUUGAGUGGUUUCAAAUACAGCAACUGUACCACCACGACAGUGCAGCACAAGAGACCCUAUCAUCAGUGCUGAGCCAGAAAUUAAAUAGAAAAGCGCUUUCUCCUGAAAUCUUUCGUCUGGU